CCUUCAGUGAUAGGCUGCUGCAACCUAGUGUGCUGUGUGGAUUGUGCAGUGCUGGAGGGUUUUCUCCGUGCUGCUGCUCCAGCCUAAGCUUGCGGUGGGUCCUGUGUGACAUCAUCAGUUGUUCUCUCAAAGCAUAGAGCAGCAAAAGUGACGAGAUUAAAGAACAAGAAAGCAGAAAGCUCUAGGUCCAACCUGGGGCUUGAACUCACGACUCUGAGAUCAAGAGUUGCAUAUUCUACCUACCAAGCCAGUCAGGUACCCAGACGAAUACUUUUGAUGGCAGAAUGAAAUGAGAAAAUUCCAGGCUGAAUUUGGAGAAGUUGAGUUGCUGGGAAUGCUUGAUGGAAUUGUCCAUGUAACCCCACAACCAGCUGUAGAGAGGUACAGAUCUGUGAUUCAACAGUAUUGCACAAUUCAUGGAGACUGACCUUUCUUCUACCAGCAGUUGAAGGUACCAGUGUGGAGCUGGGCAUAUCCAUACAUCUCCAGAGGAAAUCCAUCUGUAAGAAAAGAAUGUUUGAUAACUUCGUGUAUGAUUUUGUCUGCAGGGAGGCCCUAGAUAGGGCAUAAUCAUAAUGGAGUCAUAUGGGACAGGAGGUCUACCUAAUCAGUCAACUGUUAGAGCAAAACAAAUGAGAUACUGUUUCAUACUAGCCAAUAUUUACUAAAGACCUACCUACAUUUAAACCCUUGAAACAUCACAGGCAGGGUCAGUCUUAAUAUUUCAAUUUCAUGGAUGAAUAAACAAAGGGUUCAGAGAGGUGACAUAGUUGUUAAAAGACAGUACUGGGCUUUGCUUCCAGGUCUGUCUGGCCCCGUAUCACAUCCUUUUCCCAUUAUAUUACUCCUAUUGCUUCUCACUUUAAAAGCAAUAUAAAGAAGCUAUUUUAAGUAUAGACAAAGAGGUCAAUGGACCUCAGCCUCCCUGUAUAUUAAAGUGCAAAGAAAUAAACAGAAUAAUAACAACCAAAGAAUAUACUGUUACAGCCAGCAUCUCAAAAGAGAAACAUCCCAAGUGGGGCCCAAAGGGAUGACUUCAACUUUCUCAGAGUUAUUUCAUGAAUGUUCUUUUUAUAUUGAGCUGCUUUCAACUUUUUAAAGAAAGUAAUUAUAAUCGUGAUGGUGAUGAUGUUGAAACUUUACAUUUCUAACCAAAUCCAAUGAAAGCUUUGAAAUCAGCAUCGAUGUACGAGAAAUCUUGUAAUGGCUGGAAGGAACACAUGUCUACAAGUCUACUCCAAUUAUGUAACAAUAGCACCGAUGGGUACUCAGUGAUAAAUAUUCUGAAACAUGAAAUGAUAGGUAAAAUUCAAAAGACUUGCACAUGUCAUUUGUGCCAAAUAAAGUACCGAAACACAGAACGACUUCAUUCUUAAUUUAUUUCUAAAAAAAUCAUAUCUUGUUGCAAAGCUGACAUGGUUUUACAGUACCAUAAUAUCAUUACUUCACAAGCACAACCCAAGAAAAUGAUGAAUAGUAGGGCAGUCAAAUC
Molecule: long non-coding RNA, 1492 nt
Organism: Zalophus californianus (California sea lion)
Lineage: Eukaryota; Metazoa; Chordata; Mammalia; Carnivora; Otariidae
Exons: 4
Source: RefSeq, a predicted model, not a curated record